UCGGUGCGUUUCUGAUCGUUUUCGCAAAAAAGUUUUAUUUCUUUAUCAAAUAAUUAUAUUAAUUCGUUUAUAAGUAUUUUCGCGAGUGAUAUACAGACAUAUAUUUUAGCAAUUCAUAAGUGUUGAAGUUAAAUAACAAUGAGUUCAUGUCAUUUUUUGCAAAAUGCGUCUUGAUCAAAUUCGGCGUCGUCGGCCUUGUCGUUGGAAUUUUAGUGUUUUCGGUAUUUUCGUAUUCGCGAGUGAUCUGUAUUAAAAAGUGAAGUUAGAGCGCGGUUAUAGUCGGUAAAAUAUGAAUUCUUCGUCUUCUCGGGUCUUGUUCUUUGGUUUUCAUUACAACUUAAAACGAUCCGCUCCAAUAAGAAUACGAUUCAAAUCGGCCGAUUCAAAUGCCAAUCAGAGUUGUAAAUACGAUUUAACAAAGAAAUGUUUUCUCCGGGAACAAUUGUCAUUUGGAACAACAUCAACAAUUCUCAUACUCUCUUCACACUCUGUUGUAGCCGUCAUCCCUUGUUCUCCAAGAACAAGUGUCCUUUCAAUCAACACCCACACGAUGCACAAGGAAACCACAAAUUGGAAAACAAACAAACAAAAAACUGAAAAUGUUAAGAAAAUUAGCGAUUUUUCUUUUGAUGGUUGUUUUCCAGCAACUCUCUAAAACCCAACUGGAUUUCACUGCGUCACCAUCGC
Long non-coding RNA from Musca domestica (house fly), 687 nucleotides. RefSeq lists it as uncharacterized. Lineage: Eukaryota; Metazoa; Arthropoda; Insecta; Diptera; Muscidae. The record is from RefSeq and is a predicted model, not a curated record. The transcript has 4 exons.